Long non-coding RNA from Cercocebus atys (sooty mangabey), 237 nucleotides. RefSeq lists it as uncharacterized. The transcript has 3 exons. The record is from RefSeq and is a predicted model, not a curated record. Lineage: Eukaryota; Metazoa; Chordata; Mammalia; Primates; Cercopithecidae.
GUGAUUCUCCUACCUAAUCCUCCUGAGUAGCUGGGAUUACAGUGGUCUUAUCCUACUGCUCUAGAAGAAAGCUCAAGAUACCAGUUUGAUGGACAAUGAACUAAGCCCAGAAGAAAUCUCUCUCCAAGCCUAUCUUCUUGUUGCUGUCCUAUCUGUAUACUUGUUGGACACCUACUCUAUGCCGGACACUAUGCCAGGCUGUCCAAGCAUGGCUCCAGCAUCUGCUCCUGGUGAGGA